AUUUUUUUACUGUUAACUUUAGCUAUACCCACUAAGUAUUGAUAUAUGAAUUUUUCAUUGAUUUUUAAAUAUUGUCUAAUUUUAUUUUAGAUAAUAGAUUCUUGAGAUGUUCUUUUUAAGACCAUUUUUAUUUCUUCUAAACUAUAUCUUUUAAGUUAACUUGGGUUUGAAUAUUAUUCAGUUUUUUUCUAGACAUGAAGAAAAGGAAAUACACUAUCCUAAGGAAGAUGAAAAAUCCUGGAGGAAAAGAAUACUUGGAAGAGUUCUAGUUCAAAGUCAGAUAUUGUGACUUGAAAUAUCAGAAUCCUAGACAAAUGGAAAUGUAAAGAAGGAGGAAAGUACAAGAGCAUGUUUGAAGGCUGAUAAAAAGAAUUCUGGAGAAAGAGAGUGAUUGAAGACAAGAGAAAUGAGGAAAAAUCUAGAGAAGUAAAAAUGCAAGGGAACCUAAAAUAAAAAGCCUGACAAUAACGGAUGUUGUCAAGGAGGUGAGACAACCAAAUUUUAAUUUAAUGUUGGUGGGAAUAUAAAGAUAAGCAUUAAUUUUGUAAAAAGGCCCAUCAGUUUCUUAUAAAAGUAGCAAUAUACCUACUCUAUUAUCAGCAAUUCCAUUCAGAUAUUUUUCCAAAGGAAAUAUAAUCAUAUGUCCAUAAAAAGAAUGUUCAAGGGGGGUGAGGGAUAAAAGACUACAUAUUGGGUAGAGUGUACACUGCUUAGGUAACAGAUGCACCACGAUCUCAGAAAUUACCACUAACCAACUUAUCCAUGUAAGAAAAAGCCACCUGUACUCUCAAAACUAUUGAAACUAAAAUCAUAAAUAACAAAGAAUGUUCAUAGAAGUUUUAUUUAUAAUACCUAAAAACUAGAAAAAGUCCAAGUGCCCAUCAAUAUGAGAAUAGAUAAACAAACUUCACUAUAUUCAGAGAAUGUAAUACUAUUCAGCCAUAGAAAGAAACAAACUACUGAUACAUUUAGCAUGGAUGGAUCUCAAAAAAAUGAUUUGCAGAGCGAAAGAAGCCACCCACAAAGGAGUACAUACUGUAUUAUUCCAUUUUAUAUGAAGUUCUAAAACAAGCAAAACUAAUCUGUAUUGAAGAAACAGAACA
RNAcentral lists this long non-coding RNA (1103 nucleotides) under Homo sapiens (human). Its description in RNAcentral is "HSALNT0041808". Lineage: Eukaryota; Metazoa; Chordata; Mammalia; Primates; Hominidae. The record is from RNAcentral.